This 383-nucleotide long non-coding RNA is filed under the name Volvox carteri. RNAcentral describes it as "long non-coding RNA (VCAR_LNC000274)". The record is from RNAcentral. Lineage: Eukaryota; Viridiplantae; Chlorophyta; Chlorophyceae; Chlamydomonadales; Volvocaceae.
UCGGGGCGGCGGUGGCGAGCCGGGUGCGAGGGGUGGAGAAGGCGACGGGGGCUCGGGGGCCUUUGGCGGCGGAGGCGAAGGUAGUUGGGGAAGGUGAGGCGGCGGAGGCGAAGGUAGUUGGGGAAGGUGAGGCGGCGGAGGCGAAGGUAGUUGGGGAAGGUGAGGCGGCGGAGGCGAAGGUAGUUGGGGAAGGUGAGGCGGCGGAGGCGAAGGUAGUUGGGGAAGGUGAGGCGGCGGAGGCGAUGGUAGUUGGGGAAGGUGAGGCGGCGGAGACGAAGGUAGUUGGGGAAGGUGAGGCGGCGGAGGCGAUGGUAUUGCGGGCAUGAGUGGCUCUGGAGACUGUGGCGCUCUGCGCGCGAAGGGCCGGUGAGGCGGCGGCGGUC